AACGAACGCUGGCGGCGCGCCUAAUACAUGCAAGUCGAGCGAGAAGACGUAGCAAUACGUUUGUAAAGCGGCGAACGGGUGAGGAAUACAUGGGUAACCUACCCUCGAGUGGGGAAUAACUAGCCGAAAGGUUAGCUAAUACCGCGUACGCUCCUUGGACUUCGGUUCAGGGAGGAAAGCGAUACCGUGGGUAUCGCGCUCUUGGAUGGGCUCAUGUCCUAUCAGCUUGUUGGUGAGGAACGGCUCACCAAGGCUUCGACGGGUAGCUGGUCUGAGAGGACGAUCAGCCACACUGGCACUGCGACACGGGCCAGACUCCUACGGGAGCAGCAGUAAGGAAUAUUGCGCAAUGGGCGAAAGCCUGACGCAGCGACGCCGCGUGGGGGAUGAAGGUCUCGGAUUGUAAACCCCUUUCGGGAGGGAAGAUGGAACGAGCAAUCGUUCGGACGGUACCUCCAG
Molecule: ribosomal RNA, 459 nt
Filed under: uncultured bacterium
Lineage: Bacteria
Description: bacterial SSU rRNA
Rfam family: Bacterial small subunit ribosomal RNA
Source: RNAcentral